Molecule: long non-coding RNA, 9004 nt
Filed under: Gallus gallus (chicken)
Lineage: Eukaryota; Metazoa; Chordata; Aves; Galliformes; Phasianidae
Source: RNAcentral
CAAAUAUUUUUCUCUGUAGAAUUAAAGGAAUAAAUAUUGAUAAAAAGCCAUUAUUUUCUCAGAGCUCAAAAAGUUUUUAGCAAAUGGUUUGUUUAACAUUAGGCACUUCUGGGAAAUAAGGGAGUAAUAUAGUCUUAUUGCAGAUGGACACUGUGCAUUUCACCGGGUUUGGAUUAGUUUUGAUGUCCUUGAGAUGCUGGGUUAUAAAUGUUAUUGCUAUUUUGAGAGGGUGAGCAUGUUUUAUAUCUCUUAAUUUUUGUUCCUUAUUUUUAAAUCUGGUUAUUGCACACCUCUAUUAUGUUGCAUAGGCUUUUUUGUUUGUUAGUUUGUUUGUGUGUUUUACUAUCUUGAUACGAUGUAUUUUUCAUGUUAAAUUAGGUCAGUAUUUGAUAGUGGAAGGAUAAGAUUUCUGUCAGGCAUUUGCCUUAUACAUUGUUGGAAACAAAAGAGAAAUGGCUAGAAUGUGCUUAAUCCAGGACCAGAGACAGUGGCUGAAAGGUGCAGAGAGACCUUGUUCCCCAUGGUAUUUUCAGUAUCAAAGAAGACUGACCAGUGACUGGUGUGCCACAGGGACUGAAGUCAUCUUGUGCCCGCUGGGAAUGACAACGCAGCUGAGUGUCUCACUGAUUUCUGUGUUCACCAGCAAGAGUGUGAAAGCAUAUGCCACAACUUGUAACAGUCUCACAGGUCCUUCAGUUUGUGUUCCUGCGGUAUUUUGACUGUAAUAGCAGAAAGGCUGAGGGAGCAUUUACUUUCAGUCCGUCUACUGUUGUCCUAUCUGUUCUGUCUUGUGCAAAGUGCAAAAGUGCAAUGUUUUGUUUGAAGAUUUAAGCUAAGGCUUUACUUUUUUUCCCCCAUGUUUGAAAAUUCUACCCGUUUUGAAUAAUGUGUCUUUAACAGCAAUUAAUAAAUGAACAAGAAUCUCCUAUUUCCUUCAACAAAUGGUUUCAGAUGAAUUUGGGUAAAAUGAGAUCAUGACUAUAAGCAGCGUAAUGUUUCUAGUUUUGUUAAUACGCCGAGUAACAUGUCAAAACAAGAAAUCAAAUGUGAUUUUGACAAUUCCUACCAAACACACACAUACACAUAAAAGCAGUGUUCCACACAACAUAGUAAGAAUUUUGAUAUGAUCUUGUCCCUCUAGACUGAAGUCACUUAUGAAGUUUCCAAGUAAAUUUAAUACACUAUAAAUGUAAUUGAUUGCUGAUGCGACAAUCCAGCUCGCUGCUACAAUGUUUAAUAGCUGGAGAAUCCAUUUAGAAUAUAGUACAGAUCUUGAGCUUAAGGUGCUAGAGCAUUUACAAGAGGUCUAAUUUUAAUUCUGAGUUUUGACAUGAAUUUGGGAUAAAUCACCCUCUCUGUGCUUCCUUAUGUAAACUGUAAGUUCUGUCUCUUUCCCUACCUGGUAAGCAUAAAUAUGGAUUUGAAUGAUAUUCCUGUUAAUGCCAUUGUUACCCAUCAGGUCCUAAAUGUGGUUUUCAUUAUAUUUUCAGAAAAACAGGCAAAUGCUACAUCCAGCUUGUAUGUUUUUUUUCAAGAUUGUAGCCAAUAGAGAAUAUUCCCAACUUUAUCUCCCAUCUCACAUAUCUUUCCGUUCCAGAUUCUGGUCAUUGUAGUUCUGAGAACAAGUCAGAAGCUUUUGGUACUGCUAGUUCCACACUUUUGAUGCAGCGUCUCAUUAGUAUUUCACUCCUUCAGUAAUAAUGUAUCCUUACGUUUAAAAUGUUCUUUUGCUUGUACCGCUACAUACCGGAGUCUAAUGAUUUUAGCUUUUGUCCUUUUCCUCUGAAAUGAGUGAAUGUCAAAUGCUUUCUGUGACAAUUUAUGUCAAACUUGUGCCUUUUUUUUUUUCCCCCAUUAGAUAAAUCCAUCCCACUUAUCACUAUCUAUUUUUAAAAUAAGAAAAAGAAAAAAAAAAAAAGAGAGAGAGAGAAAGCACACAUGUAGUGUGAUGCAAGUGCAAAAAAGCAUGCAAAGACAAUGCCAGUGUGACAGCUAAUUAAAACCAGGCACUUUAAUGCUGAGAAACAAACAGAAAUCUUUCAACAUACUGAAAACUAAGGUGUUGAGGUGGCAAAACAGAAAUGCAGAGGGAUUUUUCAAGGGACAACCUGAAAGAAGAUUUAUGGAGUACAAAGGAAUUUGCAUUAUUAUGGCUCCCAACAGACAAGUCAAUGUUGCUUUGGUACUCUGAGACUCAUUAUAGCUGCAAUGCAAUUAUGAGCGACUUUUCAGCUUACAGUAUUACAUACCAACAAAACGGAGUAUUUUUGAUCAGUGAGAUCUCCUAAAUUCCUUUGCAGAUGGUCCUUUGACCUCAUCAGCUGGGUGAGUUAUUUAAACUAUUGUUCCACCUCAUGAGACAUCUGUGGUAUUAUUCAGUUUUGUAUAUAUAGAGAAUGAACAGUAAAAUCUGCAUUUUUAUUUAAGGGUUAUUUUUGGCCCUAAUAAAAAUGUUAAUAGCUGAGCAAAGCACAGUGCCGGGAAGAAACUGUCUAUUUAGAUCACUUACUUGCUUAGAUCUGGAUGCAGCUUUAACUAUAUAUUUUUAAGCUAAAGCCUUCAUGUACAGCUAGUCAUCCUUCCUUCUAUACCAGGAUAUCUUGUAAUAAACAUACUUUUCAAAGCCCUGCUGUAUAGAAUGGAGUAAUCUCUAGAGUUGUUUCACUUAAAUGAAAAGAUCUGUUUUAAAUAUUAAGUUCUUAUUUUAUUAUAAUCUUUUCUACACUUUCGCUUCACCGUUGCAUGCAUGCAUGUGCCUGUACUGGGCUCCUGUUUCGCUGAAGUCUAGGUACAUACAUAGUGAGAGUACAGUGAAGGAGAUGGCUAUUAUGUGCUACUGCUCAUCCCUGAGAACAUCCCUGGGAAGGCAAAGGGGAAAAUCUAACUGUUGUCUUCACCCAGUGGAUGAUUGCAGAGAAAGCUGUCACACUCUACUUUUGCACCAGAAGGGCUAGAGGCAUUGGCCAUGAGUUGCAGCCAGAAAUGCUUCAACUAGAUAGGGGAAAGAAUUCAUCACAAUGAGAGUAGGGAUUUGUGGCACGGACACUGAUGCUCAGAGAGGUGGUGAAGCCUCCAAUCCUGGAGGUAGUCAAAAUCCAUCUGGAAAGAAUAGUGAGUAAAAUGUCUCUGGCUUUUAAAUUACCCCUGUUUUCAGAAGAGAAUUUGAUCAGGUGACCCCAGAAAGCUUUUCAACUGAAAAUAUUCUGUGAUUCUGUGAUAUGUGGAUGCACAUAUUAGUGACGAGGUACAUAUUGGCUUGUGAUUUGUAAUUGGUGCAGACUUGCAUAGUGUUAUACAUACACAGCCUAAACAAUUUGGAAGAAGUAACAUUUCCCUCAGGAAAAAGUAAAAGUAACAUCAUACAAGAAACUGAAGAAAUGUUUCAAAGUGGUAGCAAGAUGUCAUUUGUUUGGCAGAUAGAGAUAACAACAGUUAGGCCUUGUGGGAAUAGAUUCCCUUUCCCCCUCCUCCUGCUCUGUUUUGCUUUUAGAGCAUGCUUUUGGCAAUCGAAAAUGUCAUUCUAUGCAUCAUGUAACACUUUGGUUACAGUUCCUAAAAUAGGAUUCAGAGGAGAGUGCAGUCAACAGUUGAAACCUACUACUGAACAUGGUGAGCAGACAUAAAAGACUUGCACUGAAUAAGAUGAAGCCAUUGGUGUUUCAUUUACAGAGUGUGUUGGCAGGAGUUGUGAUCGCUGACAUUUCAGGGGCAGUUCCUGAGAAGUGCAGAACUGAGUUGUCUUGCUCUGUUAUUACCACAUCAACAUUGACACAGUUUGUUUGUGCAAAUGUGUUGUCAAAAUGAAAGCAUUUGUUUUAAAUCAGUCCCAUUUUAUUUCAAAAGUGAAAGAUUUUGGCAUGUAUUUUGCAAAGCCUUAGGAGAUAAUAUCUGUGAGGCAAAGCAGCAGAAAAAAAGGGAGUGUAGUGUCACAGAUACGAAGAAGCUGUUUGUACAAUACAUACAAAUGCCUGGGAAUUGAUGGAGACUCUUGCCAAUAUAUUCCUGACCACCUAAACCUCAUGUGAUUUUAGAAAUCAAGUGUGUCACAAUCUAGAAUGUGGCCUGUGUUCAUUACAGACCUUUAUUUGUCCAGUUUUACAGUAAAAUAAGGUUUUUGUAUGAGUAUCGUGCUCUUUGGGGGCUUUUGAGAGACAUGGAUAUUGAGAUGUAGUAAAUGGUGGUUUGGGAAGUCUAGUUAGGUAUAUAUGAGCUUUCUCUGGAUAUUUGCGGAGGAAUGUAGCAAUCUCUGAUAUGUGGUGGGAAUGAAACAAAAUCUCUCAAGUGAGGCUGGACAAGCUAUAUGCAGCAUCAGCCUGAAUCCUACAACAUUUCAACAAACGCAUGAUUGAGCUACUUGAAAAAAUGUGGAAUUUCCUAUGGAAUUGUCCCACUGGUUUAUGAGCAUUCAGGCAUUGGAACCUGUAUGUGAAAUGUUAGGAGCAAUCCUUACCAUCACAUGUGCAAAGAAUGGGUGUUAAGACUAUGAGGUUAAAUGCAGAUCUUGUCCAGGAUAUUCCACCUUACAUUAGGGAAUUUCAAGCAACCUACAUGAUUUUAGGUCAGAAUUAAAGCAUGGAAGCUUCCUUAAUAUGCUGUGAUAAUCCUAAAACAUAUCCUAAUGUGUUUUUUUAAUUCACUGAAGUAAAACUUGAAAAUUAAACGUUAACUGGUGUCUUUAUAAAAGAGUGCUUUAGCUGUGCUUUCUCAACAGUCUUUUUAUUCAGCCUCAAAGAUUUUUUUAAAUGAGAUCAUCUCUUUUUUUCCUGUGCUGUUUAGUUGAAGAGCAUGCUAUGUAUAGACCUGUUCCCAUGUUUGUGCAGAAAUUCACUUGACAUAGAGAUGAUCUUGUAGAACAGUAUGUCUAGCUUCCAUGCUUUCUUUGUAGAUUGGGAUCAAUACUAAUGGAGCACAAGCACUGAAGAGUAGCACAGCAAAGAGAAAUCCCAGAUUUUAUUUUCAUAAAAAUAACCCAAAUAUCUGUUCAACGCGUAUAAAGACUUUUAACCAUUUUGAAAUAUAAGGCAUGACAUGUUGUUUUAACUUACAUACAACAAACACCACAUUUCUAAAGUUGCUAUUUACUUCUUUUAAAAGAUGAAACUGAUGAUAGCUAAAAUGAAAUGAAGCAAGUUUUAUGCAUGUUGCAUUUUAACAAGUCUGCUGUCUCAUUGGAAUGCACUGCCUUCUUGUGCUACAUUAUAUUUUUGGAAUUUAAUAAGGCGCCUGUCAUAUCUGCCUCAAGGCUAAAGAAUAUCAUGAGGGAGAAAUCCAAAGUACUGUCAUGUUUGACUGACAGGGGGCCAAUUUUAAUUUUUUUAUGGGAGGUGGCUGAUAUUAACAGGCUGUAGUGCUGAAGAUGCAUUGCUCUACCAUCUGCUUUAAACACCCUGUGUUGAUGAGCCAGUAAUGACGUUGCUCUGUGACAUUUAUCAGGUGAAUUUGGCUCUGACACUUAGUGGAGCAUUUUCAUUAAAAAAUUAAUUCUGUGCAUUUUACAGUGAAGCCCAUUGUGAUGAUAGAUUCUGGUACAGUGCCACGUAUCUCCAGAAGCUGUUAUAAUUACCUGAGAAACUUGGGAAAGCAAUAAACUACUACUUUCUAUUUCUUGUGUGUACUCCCUGAGCAUACAAUUAACACACUGACUCACUUAGCUUAAGUCUCUGAAGAUCUGUGUCUAUUUGAUGAUUACUAGCUCUUCAAAGUAAUAAGCAAGCACAACUCAGUGGCUAGAUGAAAGUGGGAUAAGAAGCCUUUGUGAGGUACAGGCUAGUGGUGGUCUAUAAAUGCUCAUUAGAAAAGUGAGUAAAAUAAAAUAAUGGGGAAAUGCUGUGGCUUCAGUGAGCAUUUAAAGAAUAUAUAUCCCAGAAGGAGAUCUACUCAAAUAUUCCCUUGACCACUUAGGUCCAAAGGGGAGAAAAAAUCCUGAAGAUUCUGUUUACCACCAAGUCAGGAUUUAGAGCCCUGGACAUCAUCUUAUCUGGCAAACUGGACACUCUAUGAAUGCUUGGUACUGAUGUAAUUUAGAUGUCUUCUAUUUCAAUAUUUGUUAUAAGUUUCAUUCAUCUUGUUAAUGUUAUUUCUCAUUAGCUUGCCACCAGUGAAAAAAAAAAAACAAGAUCUUGUCUAAGAAAUGAACACCAAUUCCUUAAGAGGCAUAAUUGCUAAAUUAAGUUGAACAAUUUAUUAAUCUUUUUCCUGUUCUUAGAUGUGCCAGAUCUGCAUGUAUCCUUCUCUGGUACAGAAUGACUUUCAGGUGACUGCGGAGAAUAAGUAGUAUUAGCAGAGUUCCCCAGACCCCUGUGAGUGCAGCUGGUGGAUGAUGGCACUUACACUGACGGUCUUGGUAGAAAGAGUAAAGGCUUAAUAAAACAUAGUAAGUAAAGUUAUGGUUCAGUGUUCAUUAAUACUCCCCUCAAUUAAACUAGAUUAUUUUGCAGUGCCUAUUUGAUUUGAAUCAGGGCUGAGCAUAAAUUCUACUGAGUUUAAUAUAUCACAUGAUAAGGUGUUUGAGCCAAGUCUAUGCAGUUAACUGAAAGAGAUGAUACUUUCUCCAAUGUAUACUUAAGGAGAUAUACACAGAGCAUUUUGGGUACAAAAUGAAGUACACUGAGUCCAAACUCAACAUACUGCAAAAUAUGACCAUAUCACUUCUAAAGACUGAUGAUAUGAUGUCUAAAUAAAGCAGCAGAAGGAAUAACUAUGCUCGUUUUGUGGAUUGAGAAACACAUCAGAAACAUUAUAUAACAUUAUGCAGCUGAUCAUCAAAAUACUUAAGAAAAACAGUUUAAUGUGAAUCAAGUGAGUUCUCCAUUGAGAUCUCUGGAGAUGAUUUGAUUGUCAAUUAAAUCUAACAGAUAAUUUUGGAUGAAUAAUAUUCUCUUUGAAGUAUUACAACAGGUUUUUUUUUGUUUGUUUGUUUGUUUUUUUAACUCACCCCUUGGGUUUUUUUAAAUUAAAAAGUAGUUUUCAGACUGCUUUAUCACCCUGAUGGAAGAAGAGGAUACAUUCUUUGACAUUUUCCUUCCUUCUCUGAGACAGGGAUAUUUCUUCACUGUCUGAUUUAUUAAUAGAAAUAGUUACAGGUGUACUUGGUUCAGCAAAUAACUUGUUCUAGGAUUGCCUGUAGUCUACACCUGGCCUGGGAGGCGUGUACUAGUAAGAAAUGGAAAAAAAACAAUAUCUACUUAAUAAUGGGAGCUGCAGAAGAGCUAAGUUUGUGACCCUUCUCAAAGGACUGUUUUGGGAGCAUUUUCAUGGCAGGCAAGUUCCAUGUGCAUUCAUCACCUUAAUGUGUACCUGCCAGCUGACCUAUCCUGCAGAGGUCAUGUGGGUCAGGUCUUCAGGCAGCUUUUCUAAUCAAGGUCCCCUGGUAAGCACUCAUUUGAUCUGCCCCUGGCUGCUAUAUGAUCUCCUUUUUCCCUUUGUGUUGUGUUCCUUGUGCCUCCCUCUCUUUUUGAAGUGAAUGCUGGCCAAAAGAAAAAGGGAAAUGGAGUAAGGUGGGAGGGGGUUGCUCAAAUGCAUUUUCCUCCUUCAGAGAUAUGCAGUUCCUAAAUCCUCCAUUUUCUGCUCUUCUCAAGUUGAAAUGUUUCUAGCUGACUACCUUGUCCAGGUGUUAGUCCUCCUGUUACCUCUGAACCUUUUUAGAGUGCUGGGUCUCCUGCUGGUGGUCAAGGCAGUGUUAAAUAAUUGUAUGGCUGCCUACUGCUGAGCUCUGUUAGCUCGUCACUUAUAACCUGAGCAGAUGGUUGUGCUUCUCAGCCUUGAGAAACAGCCACUUUCUCUUCUCAGAGAAAAGUAGCCUAUGGCUAGAGACUGCUUAAGGUUGUUUUUGUUGUUUACUUUGUUUCUUUCUUGUUUUCCUACACCAGAAAAUAUCUGUGGGGCAUAAAUGUGAGUCAGCCAGAAAUAGCAUGAAAAACCAGUAGAGUAGUAGAUAAUUGUGAUAAUAGGAACCUUAAGUUAAAUACCAGCUUAAAGCUGAAAUUUAUUUCAUUUUCUUGUGUGUUUGCACAAAUGUUCAUUUGCUACUAUUGCUUGUCUAUUUACUUGACCACCUAUCAAGGUUCUUCCUGAUUGUCUUAGGUUUUAAGUGGUUUGAGAUGAAUGCUGUUAUUCUUUACAGGCAAGCAGGUUUAAAGCCAUAAGGUUUUUUAAUCACCAGCUGCUGAUCAUCAGAGACAAACCAUGACAAUAUGUCUUGUUUGCCAGGGUCUUUCAUAAAGGGAAGGGGGGGGAAAUGCUGAUGGAAUGAUGAUUUCUGUAUUUAUUUAUUUUUCAUUCACUGUAAAAGAUGUUGGUUCUGAAUAUUUUAAGCCUUUUUGACAAAAGGGUUAUUCAUGGUGGAUUGUUUCAGGCACACUUCUGUAAUCAUUUCAUACCUUUAACAGUAGAAAGGUAGAUCAGCUGCAUCCCUAGUGUUCUGAAAGUGGAAUGAGGGACAAGAAGAAAAUUACUUUCCAGGAGGGAAAAGGUGUAAAGGAGAUGACCUCCUCUUCCUCUCCUUCUGUUCUACCUUUUUUCCUUUCCCUGCUUAUUUUCUCUGUGGGUGUACAGCACCAGCAGCUGGCUGAGGACAGCUUUUCAAAAUAGCAGGGACUCCAAGUAGAAGAAAGGGCCAGAAAACUGGGAGAGCAAGUAUAUUUUCUUUUGAUCAGAAUAGAGCAGAUGUAAGUUAGCAGAAGGGCUUCUGUGGACUUCUACAGGUUAAUGCAAUAACUAAGAAUUUAAUGAUGUUAAGAAUUGAAGCAAUGGUGUUGCAAUCCCUCUCUAAGCAAGCAAAAUAAGCAAAGUUUUUAAAAUUAUUUUCAUUGUGUCAGGGCUAUGUGGUUUAAUGUGUCUAUUUUUCCAACAUAUUAAGUUGUUGAAAUGAAGGAUGCUUCCUUCCUCUUCUAGCCGUAUUUCUGUUAUGAUCUUGAACUUCCAAAGAAAUCAUGAAGCUUAUUGUGAUUCAUGAGAAGCUUAAAACCUAAUGUUUGUCUAACACAAAGUCAACAAACCAUUAGUU